This 505-nucleotide ribosomal RNA is filed under the name uncultured bacterium. Its description in RNAcentral is "partial 16S ribosomal RNA". It matches the Rfam family "Bacterial small subunit ribosomal RNA", at positions 28 to 507 of the family's 1533-position model. The record is from RNAcentral.
GACGAACGCUGGCGGCGUGCCUAAUACAUGCAAGUAGAACGCACAGUUUAUACCGUAGCUUGCUACACCAUAGACUGUGAGUUGCGAACGGGUGAGUAACGCGUAGGUAACCUGCCUGGUAGCGGGGGAUAACUAUUGGAAACGAUAGCUAAUACCGCAUAAUAUUAAUUAUUGCAUGAUAAUUAAUUGAACGGUGCAAUUGCACCACUACCAGAUGGACCUGCGUUGUAUUAGCUAGUAGGUGAGGUAACGGCUCACCUAGGCGACGAUACAUAGCCGACCUGGGAAGGUGAUCGGCCACACUGGGACUGGGACACGGCCCCGACCCCUACGGGAGGCAGCAGUAGGGAAUCUUCGGCAAUGGACGAAAGUCUGACCGAGCAACGCCGCGGGAGGGAAGAAGGUUUUCGGGUCGUAAAGCUCUGUUGUAAGAGAAGAACGGGUGUGAGAGUGGAAAGUUCACACUGUGACGGUAGCUUACCAGAAAGGGACGGCUAACUACGUG